RNAcentral lists this ribosomal RNA (370 nucleotides) under uncultured organism. Its description in RNAcentral is "bacterial SSU rRNA". It matches the Rfam family "Bacterial small subunit ribosomal RNA", at positions 527 to 896 of the family's 1533-position model. The record is from RNAcentral.
CGAAGGGGCUAGCGUUGUUCGGAAUUACUGGGCGUAAAGGGCGCGUAGGCGGCCUUGAUAGUUGGGCGUGAAAGGCCUGGGCUUAACCCGGGAACUGCGUUCAAUACUGCGAGGCUAGAGUGUGGGAGAGGUUGGUGGAAUUCCCAGUGUAGAGGUGAAAUUCGUAGAUAUUGGGAAGAACACCGGUGGCGAAGGCGGCCAACUGGACCACAACUGACGCUGAGGCGCGAAAGCGUGGGGAGCAAACAGGAUUAGAUACCCUGGUAGUCCACGCUGUAAAUUAUGUGUGCUUGACGUCGGGGGGCCUAGCCCUUCGGUGUCGGAGCUAACGCGGUAAGCACACCGCCUGGGGAGUACGGUCGCAAGAUUA